This 210-nucleotide long non-coding RNA is filed under the name Phoenix dactylifera (date palm). RNAcentral's name for it is "long non-coding RNA (PDAC_LNC021920)". Lineage: Eukaryota; Viridiplantae; Streptophyta; Magnoliopsida; Arecales; Arecaceae. The record is from RNAcentral.
GCCACCAUUUCUUUUUUAGCUCUUUUCUCCUCUUUCGUCUCGUUCUUUUCUUCAGUUUCUCAACCUCCGACCACCUCGUCCUUUUUGCAGAGAUCGACGACGUCAUGCGGUCGGACAAGGCAACGGCUGUUGGUAGGACGUCCCUACUGGAAGCAGUCCGGAGGAAGAAACGAGCUCCUCCGAGCGGGGCCCCACCGGCGAAGAAGUCCC